This 253-nucleotide ribosomal RNA is filed under the name uncultured bacterium. Its description in RNAcentral is "partial 16S ribosomal RNA". It matches the Rfam family "Bacterial small subunit ribosomal RNA", at positions 524 to 776 of the family's 1533-position model. The record is from RNAcentral.
UACGUAGGGGGCGAGCGUUGUCCGAAGUUACUGGGCGUAAAGGGCGCGUAGGCGGCGCGACAAGUCACUUGUGAAAUCUCCGGGCUUAACCCGGAGCGGCCAAGUGAUACUGUCGUGCUGGAGUGCGGAAGGGGCCACCGGAAUUCUCGGUGUAGCGGUGAAAUGCGUAGAUAUCGGGAGGAACACCAGUGGCGAAGGCGGCGACCUGGGGCAAUACUGACGCUGAGGUGCGAAAGCGUGGGGAGCAAACAGG